RNAcentral lists this ribosomal RNA (443 nucleotides) under uncultured bacterium. Its description in RNAcentral is "partial 16S ribosomal RNA". It matches the Rfam family "Bacterial small subunit ribosomal RNA", at positions 338 to 795 of the family's 1533-position model. The record is from RNAcentral.
CCUACGGGUGGCAGCAGUGGGGGAUAUUGGACAAUGGGGGGAACCCUGAUCCAGCGACGCCGCGUGAGUGAAGAAGUAUUUCGGUAUGUAAAGCUCUGUCAGCAGGGAAGAAAGCAAUGACGGUACCUGACCAAGAAGCCCCGGCUAACUACGUGCCAGGAGCCGCGGUAAUACGUAGGGGGCAAGCGUGAACCGGAAUUACUGGGUGUAAAGGGAGCGUAGACGGCUGUGCAAGUCUGGAGUGAAAGGCUGGGGCCCAACCCCCGGAAUUGUCUGGAAACUGUACGGUUGGGGUGCAGGAGAGGGUAGCCGAAUUCCUAGGGGAGCGGUGAAAUGCGUAGAUAUUAGGAGGAACACCAGGGGCGAAGGCGGCUUACUGGACUGUAACUGACGUUGAGGCUCGAAAGCGUGGGGAGCAAACAGGAUUAGAUACCCGGGUAGUC